Long non-coding RNA from Suricata suricatta (meerkat), 469 nucleotides. RefSeq lists it as uncharacterized. The transcript has 3 exons. Lineage: Eukaryota; Metazoa; Chordata; Mammalia; Carnivora; Herpestidae. The record is from RefSeq and is a predicted model, not a curated record.
AAAAAAUAAGAGAAGGACAAAAUGAAUGAAGGAGGAGUCGAGGGAAGGAGGUGAUCCAGAAUGAGGAAGACGGCUUGCAGUAGACCUGGCACAGUUCGGACUAUGGUCUCCAGGACUGAGGCGCAACGUCUGAGGAGUGGAGAAAGAGGCUGACCAGGACUUGCAGGCUAAACAAAACAAAUGAGCACAUCAUUUUCAUUAGACUAAAAUCUGUGAAAGCAGGGACUGUUCAGGUCUGCUCAUCACUAUCUCCAGCCUCCAGUGGACACACAGUGAGCCCUCCAUCAACAUGUGCUGAACCAGUGAACUCCGUGAACAAAUGGGAGAUCAUCAUCCUACAAAGAAACUUAAUUCUCAAGCCUCAUGUCCCUGUUUUUAGACCAUUUCUUCACUGGACCGUCACAAAAUAUUUGUUUUAUAGAUGAAUCCGUGAUAAAGAAGACCAUCACCCAAAAUAAAGACUCCUCCA